GCUAGCUUUAUUUGGAGUUUUGUACGGGCAAAUCAAUCAGUGUGCCUUAUAUUUUUAUUUUUGAGGGAACAUUCAGUGUGGUCAAGUGGCUGAAAACAGAACUCCAACUUGCUCCAUAUCUUUAAUGAGGAACGGCACAUUCGUAAUGUAUGUUCACAAGUUGCAUAUGGAUGUACCAAAACUUGAGCACCGUACGACAACCUUUUCAUAUGGAACUGAUUACACACUGCUGGUUCUUGGAAACCGGAGCUUCCUUCCAAGAGACAGACCUGUUUCAGAAAUCAGAAGUUCUACAGCUCUUUCUUAUAUCAGUUUUUUGGUCAUCAGAUUAUUAUUAGGCUCUAGGCUGCGUAACUUGACACAUUAUUGACGAUGCUUGGAUUUAUUAAAGUGCAAGUUGAUGCAUCUGUAGCUUUUUCUGGCUUAUUGGACUCUCUCUUUGGUUGCUUUGGAGUUAAAUAGUUGAUGCUCGGAUUUAUUGAAAGUGAGUUGAUGCAUCUGUAGCUUUUUCUGGCUUACUGGACUCUCUCUUUGGUUGCUUUGGAGUUAAAUAGUUGACUGAAGAGCCGCUCAUCUCGUCUUGUACGUAAGUGUGCGACCUGUACAGUUAUCUUUUUCUGGAUACGGUGCAAUGGACCAGCAUUACUUGACAAUA
Brachypodium distachyon (stiff brome) is the source of this 655-nucleotide long non-coding RNA. RefSeq lists it as uncharacterized. The transcript has 2 exons. NCBI's taxonomy places the organism in Eukaryota, Viridiplantae, Streptophyta, Magnoliopsida, Poales, Poaceae. The record is from RefSeq and is a predicted model, not a curated record.